AAUGUCUCUGCUUUACAUUCCAGAUCUUCUCAGGGCUCAGAUGAGCAUCAAACUCAGUGUGUGAAUAUUCACAGAGAUUUAUCAUUGAGGUGGUGCAGCUAAGACAGAGACUUCAGCACAAACAUCAGCCUAGGAGAAGGGAGGAAACCCUGAGGACAGCAGAAAAUAUUUUGGAGGGAUAAAUCUGGAAUGGCUUUCGUGAAGUGAAAGAGUCACACUGCUGUACAUCUUUUAUUUCCCAGUCAUGCUCCUGGUGGAACCCCACCUAUAGUUUUUCUACAGCUCAGCCUGUGUACCUGUGUGUAUCCCAGCCCGCAGCUGCAGCCUGCCUGCUGGCAUGUGAGGGAUCACCACCUGCCGCACAGCUGCCACCAGAUCCAGGGACAUUUUGGCAAUCUCAUCGGCGUGUCUGCUGCCAUUCCUCUCUGGCAGGCCACUCACCACCAUGUAGGCAUCCCCAAUGGUCUCCACCUGAUGGGAAGGGGCACGUGUCACUAAGUGACGGGAACUGAGCUUCCCUUUGGAAAGAAAAUCAGAAUAAAAUUUAUUUUAG
Molecule: long non-coding RNA, 553 nt
Filed under: Cyanistes caeruleus (blue tit)
Lineage: Eukaryota; Metazoa; Chordata; Aves; Passeriformes; Paridae
Description: lncRNA (ENSCCEG00000020394.1)
Source: RNAcentral